CCUGAACCAGCCAAGUAGCGUGCGGGAUGAAGGCCCUCUGGUCGUAAACCGCUUUUAUCAGUGAAUAAAGUGCACCACGUGUGGUGUCAUUGCAGGUAGCUGAAGAAAAAGGACCGGCUAAUUCCGUGCCAGCAGCCGCGGUAAUACGGAAGGUCCGGGCGUUAUCCGGAAUUAUUGGGUUUAAAGGGAGCGCAGGCGGGAGUAUAAGUCAGCUGUUAAAUAUCAGGGCCCAACUCUGUUAUGCAGUUGAAACUAUAUUUCUUGAGUACGCACAGGGAUGGCGGAAUUCAGGGUGUAGCGGUGAAAUGCUUAGAUAUCCUGAAGAACUCCGAUCGCGAAGGCAGCCAUCCGGAGCGUAACUGACGCUGAGGCUCGAAGGUGCGGGUAUCGAACAGGAUUAGAUACCCUGGUAGUCCGCACGGUAAACGAUGAAUACUCGCAGUUCGGCCGUUUAGGUCGAGUUGUCCAGCGAAAGCGUUAAGUAUUCCACCUGGGGAGUACGCCGGCAACGGUGAAACUCAAAGGAAUUGACGGGGGCCCGCACAAGCGGAGGAACAUGUGGUUUAAUUCGAUGAUACGCGAGGAACCUUACC
This 593-nucleotide ribosomal RNA is filed under the name Alloprevotella tannerae. Its description in RNAcentral is "bacterial SSU rRNA". It matches the Rfam family "Bacterial small subunit ribosomal RNA", at positions 382 to 975 of the family's 1533-position model. Lineage: Bacteria; Pseudomonadati; Bacteroidota; Bacteroidia; Bacteroidales; Prevotellaceae. The record is from RNAcentral.